CACGUGCCCUUACGGUACGAAGUGCGCAUGCUCGUAUUUGUGCCUGUCCUUAUAUAAGCAGCCCCUUGUCUGAUAAAAAGAACACUGUUCCCUGCCUACCGACCGCUCACAUGGUGUCAGAAGUGGGGCGGUGACGCGUCUCGCGAGCCGCGUUCGCCGCUGUUCUUCCCCGCACCCUCGUCCAGCUGCGCCGCUAGUACACUCAAGAGAAAGAAGUAUGACGUCGGUUCUACCACCGCCAAAGCCACUGGAAUGUACGGGUGAGGCUGACCAGAUCUGGAAAAGGCGGCCAGUUCUCCAGCGGGCGCAGCAUCGACCGGGUCUCGGGAAACUGUCGCGCCCGAUAAUGGCGCGCACCUUUCAGCGUAUCUUCGGGGUUGGCCGUUCGUCUCUUCGGCGACCCAGAAGAGUGGGCGGCCUGACAGCGCUCUGUUUGUGACAGCCGCCGGUGUCGCCUGGUCGCGGUGGCGGCGAAGAUUAUACGCCGCGCGAAGCCUCGCCCAGCCUCCGAUCCCAGCCCCAUUAGCCUUUGUUGUGCGCCAACUGCGCGGCCUACCGCUUUUCCUUUCCCCUGGAUUACAUUACAUUUUGUUCU
This is a long non-coding RNA of Dermacentor andersoni, 595 nucleotides long. RefSeq lists it as uncharacterized. The record is from RefSeq and is a predicted model, not a curated record. NCBI's taxonomy places the organism in Eukaryota, Metazoa, Arthropoda, Arachnida, Ixodida, Ixodidae.